CAAAAAUCUUCAAAUGCUUGUUUUCUACUAGGAGAGAUCGUAAUAUAUACUAAUGCAUUCCUAAUCCUUUGAAGUUCAUCCUUUAUAUAUUUUAAACCAUCUUGAACAAUUAAAUUCAAGAUAUGACAUACACAACGAAUAUGAAACAAAUACCCACCAAAAUCAGGUUGAAGUGUCCUACACAAUUUAUCGACGACUGCCUUAUUAACACUAGCAUUAUCAAAAGUAAAAAGCCUUGUAGAUUUAAAUAAAGCUGGGAGAAAACACGAGGAAACGCCAAAAUAGAUCGCAUGCUCUACGAUGAUAUUAUUUAUAUAUAUAUUGUCGUAAUUAUUUUUUGCAAUCUAUAGUCAGAAAAAUGCAUUUGUUUGAAGAAUUGCAUUUUCCAAGUAGGCUAUGCAAAUGCAUAGGAAGCAGAAGACAAAAGUAUGAUUAUACUGUGGAAAGAGUCUUUUGGCUGGAGAGAGGGAGAAGGGUUCGUGCAAAAUUUGUAUACUGUUACUGGGGCUUAGAAACUAUUUGUUUAUUCAAAAUUUGUAAGAUUAUUUUGCUGUUUUUGGAAUUAUUUUGUAUGAAAUUACCAUUAUCUUCUUCAUGAUGGCACAGCCUCUUAGCUUCAAUUCUGCAGCCUAAUGGACUUCUGGUAAAAUGAAUAUUGGCCAAUAUUAGAGGGAA
Molecule: long non-coding RNA, 675 nt
Filed under: Olea europaea subsp. europaea
Lineage: Eukaryota; Viridiplantae; Streptophyta; Magnoliopsida; Lamiales; Oleaceae
Source: RNAcentral